This is a non-coding RNA of Pelobates cultripes (western spadefoot toad), 413 nucleotides long. Lineage: Eukaryota; Metazoa; Chordata; Amphibia; Anura; Pelobatidae. The record is from the annotation of a GenBank genome assembly.
CUCUCUUUACUAGCUCCACAACAGCAAACACAUAGAAAAAAAAGAACCAAUCACAAGAGAGUAGGAUGUACAUGAAGUGUAAUGACCUAAGCACUUCCUCUUUCAGAAAGCGACAUCAAGCAGAAGCAAACAUAUAACAAGCAAUAACAAUAACUCCUAAAUCCAACAUCCGAAGGAGUAAACUUGCCGAGAAUUUCACACGAACAACCAAAACGUCUUCAGGGACGAAUCCAACUGAAAAGAGAAUGUGUGACAGGUUUAGACAGAUAGUCAUGAACGUGGAAACCCAAGUAACACACAGUAUGCAUCAUUUCAUAGUAGGAACGGGUAAACUACAAUCUGAUAACUGAACAACAAUCACAUAAAACUCCAAUGGAAAUAAAACCAUCAAUCCAUACACAAAGACCCAUGAG